AGAGUUUGAUCCUGGCUCAGGAUGAACGCUAGCUACAGGCUUAACACAUGCAAGUCGAGGGGCAGCAUGGUCGUUGCUUGCAAUGACCGAUGGCGACCGGCGCACGGGUGAGUAACGCGUAUCCAACCUUCCCCCUACCCGGGUAUAGCCCGCCGAAAGGCGGAUUAAUCCCCGAUACGUCCCCUGACGGCAUCAGACGGGGACGAAAGGUUUUCCGGUAAGGGAUGGGGAUGCGUCCGAUUAGCUUGUUGGCGGGGUAACGGCCCACCAAGGCAACGAUCGGUAGGGGUUCUGAGAGGAAGGUCCCCCACAUUGGAACUGAGACACGGUCCAAACUCCUACGGGAGGCAGCAGUGAGGAAUAUUGGUCAAUGGGCGGAAGCCUGAACCAGCCAAGUAGCGUGCAGGAUGACGGCCCUACGGGUUGUAAACUGCUUUUUUGCGGGAAUAAAGCGGCUCACGCGUGGGCCUUUGCAUGUACCGCACGAAUAAGGACCGGCUAAUUCCGUGCCAGCAGCCGCGGUAAUACGGAAGGUCCGGGCGUUAUCCGGAUUUAUUGGGUUUAAAGGGAGCGCAGGCCGCCUUUCAAGCGUGCCGUGAAAUGCCUUGGCUCAACCAAGGCACUGCGGCGCGGACUGUUGGGCUUGAGUGCGCGGGACGUAGGCGGAAUUCGUGGUGUAGCGGUGAAAUGCUUAGAUAUCACGAAGAACCCCGAUUGCGAAGGCAGCCUACGGCAGCGCUACUGACGCUGAGGCUCGAAAGCGCGGGUAUCGAACAGGAUUAGAUACCCUGGUAGUCCGCGCGGUAAACGAUGG
Molecule: ribosomal RNA, 814 nt
Filed under: uncultured bacterium
Lineage: Bacteria
Description: bacterial SSU rRNA
Rfam family: Bacterial small subunit ribosomal RNA
Source: RNAcentral